AGAAAAACUGUGGUCCUGACAGUGGGUCUUCUGGAAGCCCUUCUGAAGGUUUUACAACCUCCAAAUGGUAAAGAGAAGCCCAGCUGCUUAGCUGCUUUAGUGUGGUUAAACAAGCAGGUAUUUAUCCAAUAUGUUUUUAUUCACCCCUCUGCCUUGCCCAAACCUUGGACAUUCUGCAUUUUCUCUUGUUUUCUUCUCCUUUUGUCUGGGCUCUGUUGCCUAUUUAUACUCUUUGCCUGUUACAUUGCUCUCCUUCCCUAAUUUGAGUGUGUGCUUGAAACCUCUUGUCAAACUACCCUGUAGAGUGGUCCUGUUGAUUUAUAGGUCCUAGUCAACACCAAGCUUUAUCAAACUUUCUGAUCUUUGCUGGGCUGCAAGUUGGAAGUUCAGUUUGCGUUUCUUUACUUUUUGAGUAAAGUAGAACAUUUUGUACAAGCCAUUUGCAGGUCAUUUUCUGGGAGCCAACUGUUCAUGUUCCUCACCCAACAGUUGUAUGUUCUAACAACCUUUGGCUUUUAUAUUUGUAUUUAACAGAAGAGGGAUUUUGUAGGGAUAGGAGCAGUGAGAAGGGAAGACAGACUGAGGGGCAAUUGGGGGUUCUUAUUGAGCUCUUUGGUUGAAAGAAACAAGAAAUCAGCUUAUCUUAGUUCUUGGAGGGCUUGUCCUUCUUUGGAGAUAAGAAAAGAACCUUAAAGAUGUAGACUGUGGGGUUGUGGCUGUGGCUCAGUGGUAGUGUACUUGCCUGGCAUGUGUGAGGCACUGGGUUCGAUUCUCAGCACCACAUAUUUUAUUUAAAAUAAAGGUCUAUCAACAAUGAAAAACAUUAAAA
RNAcentral lists this long non-coding RNA (829 nucleotides) under Marmota monax (woodchuck). The stretch from base 713 to 783 matches the Rfam family "tRNA". The record is from RNAcentral. Lineage: Eukaryota; Metazoa; Chordata; Mammalia; Rodentia; Sciuridae.